UAGGGAAUUUUCGGCAAUGGGGGGAACCCUGACCGAGCAAUGCCGCGUGAAGGAAGAAGGUUUUCGGAUUGUAAACUUCUGUUGUAUAGUAAGAACAGUAAAUGGAGUGGAAAGCCAUUUAUGUGACGGUACUAUACUAGAAAGCCACGGCUAACUACGUGCCAGCAGCCGCGGUAAUACGUAGGUGGCGAGCGUUAUCCGGAAUUAUUGGGCGUAAAGAGUGAGCAGGCGGUCAAUUAAGUCUAAGAUGAAAAGCUAUUGCUUAACGAUAGUUGGUUUUAGAAACUGAUAGACUAGAGUACGGAAGAGGUAAGCGGAAUUCCAUGUGUAGCGGUGAAAUGCGCAGAUAUAUGGAGGAACACCAGUGGCGAAGGCGGCUUACUAGACCGGGACUGACGCUGAGUCACGAAAGCGUGGGUAGCAAAUAGG
Molecule: ribosomal RNA, 429 nt
Filed under: uncultured prokaryote
Also listed under: 1 other name
Description: bacterial SSU rRNA
Rfam family: Bacterial small subunit ribosomal RNA
Source: RNAcentral